CCUACGGGUGGCAGCAGUGAGGAAUAGUGGUCAAUGGGCGCGAGCCUGAACCAGCCAAGUAGCGUGAAGGAUGACUGCCCUACGGGUUGUAAACUUCUUUUAUAAAGGAAUAAAGUGAGGCACGUGUGCCUUUUUGGAUGUACUUUAUGAAUAAGGAUCGGCGAACGCCGUGCCAGCAGCCGCGGUAAUACGGAGGAUCCGAGCGUUAUCCGGAUUUAUUGGGUUUAAAGGGAGCGUAGAGGGGUUGUUAAGUCAGUUGGGAAAGUUGGCGGCUCAACCGUAAAAUUGCAAUUGAUACUGGCAGCCUUGAGUACAGUUGCGGUCGGCGGUAUUCGUGUUGUAGCG
RNAcentral lists this ribosomal RNA (345 nucleotides) under uncultured bacterium. RNAcentral describes it as "partial 16S ribosomal RNA". It matches the Rfam family "Bacterial small subunit ribosomal RNA", at positions 338 to 680 of the family's 1533-position model. The record is from RNAcentral.